CAGUACACGGUAAUACGAAGGGGGCUAGCGUUGCUCGGAAUGACUGGGCAUAAAGGGCGCGUAGGCGGCGGCCAAAGUCAGGCGUGAAAUUCCCGGGCUCAACCUGGGGGCUGCGUUUGAUACUUGGUUGCUUGAGUGGGGAAGAGGGUCGUGGAAUUCCCAGUGUGGAGGUGAAAUUCGUAGAUAUUGGGAAGAACACCGGUGGCGAAGGCGGCGACCUGGUCCUUUACUGACGCUGAGGCGCGAAAGCGUGGGGAGCAAACAGGAUUAGAUACCCCCGUAGUCCCUGUCUCUUAUACAC
RNAcentral lists this ribosomal RNA (301 nucleotides) under uncultured bacterium. Its description in RNAcentral is "partial 16S ribosomal RNA". It matches the Rfam family "Bacterial small subunit ribosomal RNA", at positions 509 to 809 of the family's 1533-position model. The record is from RNAcentral.